Long non-coding RNA from Folsomia candida, 1132 nucleotides. RefSeq lists it as uncharacterized. The record is from RefSeq and is a predicted model, not a curated record. NCBI's taxonomy places the organism in Eukaryota, Metazoa, Arthropoda, Collembola, Entomobryomorpha, Isotomidae. The transcript has 3 exons.
CCCAAUUGCACAUUGCUCGUCCUCGGACUUGAGAGUAAAGGACAAUGCGUAACAUAAGGUAGCAAUUAGCGUUUUAUUUAUGUGCAUAUGUACUAAUAAUUGCAUAAUCACUGAUUGUGAGGGGCGAGAAAAUAUACAUAAUCCCCCUCAGCUGCCUUGCUGACCUUCAUCUAGAUAUCUCUGACGGUAUGGGAGCUGUGUCCAAAAUACAUUUGGCAAAUUGUAAAGUUUUGAACGCAAACCGACGAGAAAGCGGAUGUGACGUUAAACCACAGUUUUGUCUUCAGCAAGAAAAUAGCUGUUUGCCUGUUAUCCAUUCCAUUAAUUUGCUGGCAUUGGGAACGAAUGACGAUUAAGAGAACGACAAAGUUGAUGAUUUAAACGAAGAUGGGGUAACCAGAUUCACAGUCAGAGCACACAACGUGCAUUCGCAUACCUGCUCGACUCUGACUUUCUCCAAGUAUUUUUUAGCACAGCUAAAAAAUUUAGCGAACUGGUUAAUGGCAAGAAUAUAACGAACGCCGAAAGUGCAGUACUCUGUUCACGGAUAAAUAUACGUAUUUGUGUUGAAAAUUGAAAAUUACAGUUUGUCUGCUAGAUCAUUGCAUUGUAAUUGAUGUUUCGAAGAGUUAUUUAAACUCGUCCAAUCAGAAAUCCAAUCUGGACGAACCAGGCGGCGUAACUCAGAGCGGAUGACAUUAUUAUUUUCAUAAGUUUUGUCUGCUCUAAGCAGAAUUCGACCCAAUUCACAUGCACAGUUUUUAUUAUUAAAUUGCUGCUUUCGGCUUCUGUAGUAGUUUUGUUUUUCUUCCAUUAAACGAAAUGCACAGCAGUAAUGUUGGAAAUUAACGAAAAAUGACAGCGAAUCCGGUUGUAUAUGAUUCAUUCGUUCAUCGUCAUGCUACCUUUUUCGUUGAUUCAACUCAAUCCUGACGUACAUAUCUAAUAUUAUUUUCUAAUAUUAGCACGAGGGGAGUUUUGCAUUACCCUUUACAACUCAAUUUACCUCGCCAAGUGAACAUUGUAUUGUACAUGUGGAUAUAUAUAAUUUAAGUUUUCCCAAAAAUAAUAAUGUAUCGAUUGAAAAAGUUCAUGUUGUGGUUAAAUUUUGAUGAGAAUCAUUUGGUUCCUG